UAGUAGUCACAGCGCGAUCGAUCAAAGUACUACCACUUCUACUAGGACCAUGAUCAUGACACUGAGGAUUGUUUCCAGCUAAAGAUGGAAAUAGAAGCCUUCAUUCAGUGAGGUCACCUGCAGGACUUCAUCGACUUUCCAAAGGAUGCCGAAGCCUUGAGCCGCGAACUUCAGCCCAUGGCCACCAAGCCUUCAAUUGACAACUGACCC
RNAcentral lists this long non-coding RNA (210 nucleotides) under Elaeis guineensis (African oil palm). RNAcentral describes it as "long non-coding RNA (EGUI_LNC018689)". Lineage: Eukaryota; Viridiplantae; Streptophyta; Magnoliopsida; Arecales; Arecaceae. The record is from RNAcentral.